AGCCAGGUACACCGGCAAGGAUGGCAAUGGGGGAGUCCUGCUACUGUUGUGGCGAGUUGGUAAACGUGGUGCGGAGCUGCCUGGCUCCGGCGCCUCGACAUUGAUGUCGGGAAACUGGAGGAGAGUGGAUGGGAGGUGGGACUGCGCCUCACCUCACCUACUACCCCCCUCCAUAGGAAAUAUGCGAUGGCGGGUCAGGAUUAUAGCCUCUACAUUUCAUGCACUACGGACGGUUACCUCUACCAAGCCCUCGUGGACACCGACUCCACAAUCUCUGGUGUCCGGCCGGGUGUUCUACUUGGCACCGCAGCCGGCUGGCUGGGCUUCCACGCCGAAGUGCAUGCGGACAGUGACUGGUGCGAGAGCCAUGCUCCAUGGAAAAAGUUUUGCUCAAGCGUUGAGCACGAUGUUUGGCUUGGCUGGAAGACGGGCAACGACCGGAGCGGGAGGUAAUAGCUCGGCUGGACCCUGAGACCCCCCCCAAACAUGAACAAGGCAGCUGGCAUCAAAGACUGAGAACUCUCCUUCAGGAUUACAGACUCUGAGCUCAGAAACUGGAGUUCUUCUGAUUGGUCUGUCGCAAGGACUGUUGGGUAGCGGACUACCAUGAGCCCGGAGCAGUGCGGGCUUCAACGAUGACCGCAGCGAGGGCGCAAAGGGGCGCUCGCGAGACCCCUCGCAAGUGCUAAAAUCACAAAUGGGACACACUACGGACUCGUAGACUUCACAAGCAACUGAAGGCCAUUGAGACCGCAAGUCCACAUGAAGUGCGCCAUUUGGGACAGCGCCAACAACUGAGAACUCUCCUUCAGGAUUACAGACCCUGAGUUAAUGUUGCAUGUCUAACUGUAGCGCACCCUCCACUGGUCAAACUAAACAUAACACCUACAUUCACUACAGGUACUUUAUAUUAAGGUAAAUUAACAGUCAGAGCUGUUUGCUGUCCAUGGUGCUAAAUAACUCCUUGUUCUCUCCUCGUGUUCACUUUACUGUCUUUCUGUAUUUUCUGAAUACUGAUGAAGAUGUACAUCCUGAGCAUGUGGGCAAGGAGGAGGUGGGAACUGGACGAACCAUCAAAAUAAUGUUUAAUGAAAACUUAAAAAGACACAAACAUAAACACACAGCAGCUGCGUGUGGCUCUCUCUCUCUCGAACUGCCGCAUCCGGCUCGGCUUUAUCCCUCUCCUCGGCUGAUUAGUCUGACUGGGGGCCGGCUGUGCGGACUCACGGCCCUGCCCCGCCCUCCUCUUUGUCACACAGUUAUUUGUCAUUUAGUGAUUAUUUAGAGCUCAUCUUAUACUUAAUAUGUUGUUUUUGGUUGUCAACAUUAUUGUGAUUUGUAUGUCAAAUAAUGAGGUCCACACGUGGUACAAAAUUAAUGUGCUCAUACUGAUAUGCGCUCCGAUGUGUAAAUAAUCUCAAAAUAAAAACCAUUAUAUUAUU
Long non-coding RNA from Myxocyprinus asiaticus (Chinese sucker), 1442 nucleotides. RefSeq lists it as uncharacterized. The transcript has 3 exons. The record is from RefSeq and is a predicted model, not a curated record. NCBI's taxonomy places the organism in Eukaryota, Metazoa, Chordata, Actinopteri, Cypriniformes, Catostomidae.